Molecule: long non-coding RNA, 613 nt
Filed under: Vigna radiata
Lineage: Eukaryota; Viridiplantae; Streptophyta; Magnoliopsida; Fabales; Fabaceae
Description: long non-coding RNA (VRAD_LNC014774)
Source: RNAcentral
UGUAAAGUUUUCCGAUCAUUCCAUUUGAAAUCUUGAGUGAUUCUCCCUACACCUCCCUCUUUUCUCCCUGUACCUCCCAAAUUACCCUUUUAUCCCUAUUUAAUUUAAGUCAAACCUCAUUUAAUGAUUACUGUUUCCUAACCAUUAUUCCUAACCAUUAACACCCAACAACCCAACAACUUAACUUUGAUUAAUAAAUCCUAACAGUGCACCUCCCUCACCUCAUUGCUACUGUUCAUUAUUAUAAACCCUAACAGUGCUCACCUCUUUGCUGUUGAUUUUCUAAAGCCUAAUCAGUAGUGUUGAUUCGUGCAAGUGCUGGUGGGAUAUUGCUGGUGGUGUGGAGUAGAUAAAGGUCGAGGAAGAAGAUAAAGCGCGGAGGAAGAAGACCAGCGAAAGAAAGCGAAAGAGAGGUUAGUCUCAAAACGCCAUAACCGCAGUUCGAUCAGCGGUUAUGGCCUGCCGCCUUUCGAAAGGCGUUUCCAUAAAGCCGCAGCACGAUCUGCGGCGACUAGCAACCGCAGUAUGAACUGCGGUUAUUAUGAACUGCAGCCGCACUCUGAGUUGCGGCGCUGCCAACCGCACUCUGAGUUGCGGCUUGUGCCAACUUGCG